AGAACGAACGUUGGCGGCGUGGAUUAGGCAUGCAAGUCGAACGAAGACGUGCCCUGUAGCAAUACAGGGCACGGACUGAGUGGCGAAAGGGGCAGUAAUGCAUGGGCAACCUACCUCGGGGAUGGGUAUAGCCGGUCUAACGGCCGGGUAAUCCCCAGCGAUUUGGCGGAGAGGCAUCUCUUUACCAAGAAAUGGAUUCCGCCUCGAGAGGGGCUCAUGUCGUAUUAGCUAGUUGGUAGGGUAACGGCCUACCAAGGCAAAGAUGCGUAUCGGGUGUGAGAGCACGACCCGCGCCACUGGCACGUGAGACACUGGCCAGACACCUACGGGUGGCUGCAGGUCGAGGAUCUUCGGCAAGUGGGCGCAAGCCUGACCGAGCGACGCCGCGUGUGCGAUGAAGGCCGUUCGGUUAGUAAAGCACGUGGUCGGAA
This 431-nucleotide ribosomal RNA is filed under the name uncultured soil bacterium. Its description in RNAcentral is "bacterial SSU rRNA". It matches the Rfam family "Bacterial small subunit ribosomal RNA", at positions 26 to 443 of the family's 1533-position model. The record is from RNAcentral.